AUCCCAUGGUGGGAACAUUGCCUCAAUAGCUCUUUAAAUUUUUCCCAAGCAUCAAACAAAGACUCGUCAUCUCCUUGUAUAAAUGAAGUAAUUUCAUUUCUCAUCAU
Vicia villosa (hairy vetch) is the source of this 107-nucleotide small nucleolar RNA. NCBI's taxonomy places the organism in Eukaryota, Viridiplantae, Streptophyta, Magnoliopsida, Fabales, Fabaceae. The record is from RefSeq and is a predicted model, not a curated record.